This 253-nucleotide ribosomal RNA is filed under the name uncultured bacterium. RNAcentral's name for it is "partial 16S ribosomal RNA". It matches the Rfam family "Bacterial small subunit ribosomal RNA", at positions 524 to 776 of the family's 1533-position model. The record is from RNAcentral.
UACGGGGGGGGCAAGCGUUGUUCGGAAUUACUGGGCGUAAAGGGCUCGUAGGUGGCCAACUAAGUCAGACGUGAAAUCCCUCGGCUUAACCGGGGAACUGCGUCUGAUACUGGAUGGCUUGAGUUUGGGAGAGGGAUGCGGAAUUCCAGGUGUAGCAGUGAAAUGCGUAGAUAUGUGGAGGAACACCGAUGGCGAAGGCAGCCCCCUGGGUUAACACUGACGCUCAUGCACGAAAGCGUGGGGAGCAAACAGG